RNAcentral lists this ribosomal RNA (440 nucleotides) under uncultured bacterium. RNAcentral describes it as "partial 16S ribosomal RNA". It matches the Rfam family "Bacterial small subunit ribosomal RNA", at positions 338 to 795 of the family's 1533-position model. The record is from RNAcentral.
CCUACGGGAGGCUGCAGUGGGGGAUAUUGCACAAUGGGGGGAACCCUGAUGCAGCGACGCCGCGUGAGCGAUGGAGUACUUCGGUAUGUAAAGCUCUGUCAGCAGGGAAGAAAAUGACGGUACCUGACCAAGAAGCCCCGGCUAAAUACGUGCCAGCAGCCGCGGUAAUACGUAUGGGGCAAGCGUUAUCCGGAUUUACUGGGUGUAAAGGGAGCGUAGGCGGCAGGGCAAGCCUGAUGUGAAAGCCCGCGGCUCAACCGCGGAACUGCAUUUGAAACUGUUUUUCUUGAGUACCGGAGAGGUCAUCGGAAUUCCUUGUGUAGCGGUGAAAUGCGUAGAUAUAAGGAAGAACACCAGUGGCGAAGGCGGAUGACUGGACGGCAACUGACGGUGAGGCGCGAAAGCGUGGGGAGCAAACAGGAUUAGAUACCCGAGUAGUC